UGGGGAAUAUUGGACAAUGGGGGGAACCCUGAUCCAGCAAUGCCGCGUGUGUGAAGAAGGCCUGAGGGUUGUAAAGCUCUUUUGGCGGGGAAGAUAAUGACGGUACCCGCAGAAUAAGCUCCGGCUAACUUCGUGCCAGCAGCCGCGGUAAUACGAAGGGAGCUAGCGUUGUUCGGAAUCACUGGGCGUAAAGCGCACGUAGGCGGAUGUGUCAGUCAGGGGUGAAAUCCCGGAGCUCAACUUCGGAACUGCCCUUGAUACAGCACGUCUUGAGUCCGAUAGAGGUGGGUGGAAUUCCUAGUGUAGAGGUGAAAUUCGUAGAUAUUAGGAAGAACACCGGUGGCGAAGGCGGCCCACUGGAUCGGUACUGACGCUGAGGUGCGAAAGCGUGGGGAGCAAACAGGAUUAGAUACCCAUGUAGUCCCUGAGCGGGCUGGCAAGGCGCAU
This 447-nucleotide ribosomal RNA is filed under the name uncultured bacterium. RNAcentral's name for it is "bacterial SSU rRNA". It matches the Rfam family "Bacterial small subunit ribosomal RNA", at positions 355 to 825 of the family's 1533-position model. The record is from RNAcentral.